This 521-nucleotide small RNA is filed under the name Arabidopsis thaliana (thale cress). RNAcentral describes it as "ATSL097710". The record is from RNAcentral. Lineage: Eukaryota; Viridiplantae; Streptophyta; Magnoliopsida; Brassicales; Brassicaceae.
GUUUUUUGAAUACUUUGCGACGAGUUGCUAUUGACCUCGCAAAUCCCUAGCAAUUUGCGAGGGACUUACGUGAAAGACGCAAAUCCCUCGCAAAUAAGUUGAAAACCCUAAUAAGUCGUUUCCUCGCAAGUCCGUAGCAAAGUUUGCGAGGGACUUGCGAGGCUUUUUAAAUAUAUAUAUACACUGCAACCGUGUUUGAGCUGCGCUCAAACCUAGCCGCACACACCGAAACCCUAAAAUUUUCUUCUUCUCUGUUCUUCUUCUCCGGAUCUUCUUCUCCGUUCUUCUUCUCCUUUGUUCUUCUCCGUUCUUCUUCUCCAUUCUUCUUCUCCGUCGUGCCACAUCCUCUGCGAGGAGAUCCAGAUAGCCGCCGCUGACCAGGAAACCCUAAUUUCGGAGGUUUGAAAUCGAGUCUCUUCCGUCUCUGUUCUUCUUCUCCGGCGACAACUCGGUCUUCUUUGCCGCCUCUCCUCUCACAUCGAUCUGCAAGGUAAAGAAAUGUUUCUAUUUGAAACCUUAUC